AAAACAGUUAUAGUUUAUUUGAUAGUCGAUAUAUACUACAUGGAUAACCGUGGUAAUUCUAUGGCUAAUACAUGCGCAAAUACUGUAUAGUGACAUUAUUAAUGUGAUUAUACAGUAGUGUUUAUUAGAUACAGAACCAACAAUACGCCAUCACUUUUUAGUGGUGGUGUAGAAAGAAAAAGGUGAUUCAUAGUAACCGAACGGAUCGCAUAAUAUUAUAAUCAUUUCGGUGAUUGGCGAUAGAUCAUUCAAGUUUCUGACCUAUCAGCUUUCGACGGUAGUGUAUUGGACUACCGUGGCAGUGACGGGUAACGGGGAAUUAGGGUUCGAUUCCGGAGAGGGAGCCUGAGAAACGGCUACCACAUCUAAGGAAGGCAGCAGGCGCGCAAAUUACCCAAUCCUGACUCAGGGAGGUAGUGACAAGAAAUAACAACACUGGAAAUUGUAUUUCUAGUGAUUGGAAUGAUGGGAAUCCAAACCCCUUUCAGAGUAACAAUUGGAGGGCAAGUCUGGUGCCAGCAGCCGCGGUAAUUCCAGCUCCAAUAGCGUAUAUUAAAGUUGUUGCAGUUAAAAAGCUCGUAGUUGGAUAUCUGCUGGAAGCAAUCAGUCCGCCCUUUUUGUAAGGGUGUGCACUUGAUGAAUUCUGGCAUGAUUUCAUCCUAAUAAUAUAAUGUGUGUGAUUAUAUUAGGUUAUAAGUCCUAAUAUGGUUGCAUCAUAUUUUUGUUGGGAUGACAGUUGUUACUUUGAGAAAAUUAGAGUGUUUGAAGCAGGCUUUUGUUGCCUUGAAUACUGCAGCAUGGAAUAACAAUAUAGGAUUUCGGUUCUAUUAUUUUGUUGGUUUUUUCUGUAGGACUGAAAUAAUGAUUAAUAGGGACAGUUGGGGGCAUUCGUAUUUAACUGUCA
This 904-nucleotide ribosomal RNA is filed under the name Sarcocystis sp. RNAcentral's name for it is "SSU rRNA". It matches the Rfam family "Eukaryotic small subunit ribosomal RNA", at positions 103 to 907 of the family's 1831-position model. The record is from RNAcentral. Lineage: Eukaryota; Apicomplexa; Conoidasida; Eucoccidiorida; Sarcocystidae.